This is a long non-coding RNA of Thalassophryne amazonica, 153 nucleotides long. RefSeq lists it as uncharacterized. NCBI's taxonomy places the organism in Eukaryota, Metazoa, Chordata, Actinopteri, Batrachoidiformes, Batrachoididae. The record is from RefSeq and is a predicted model, not a curated record. The transcript is spliced from 3 exons.
AUGUGGAAUCAGUAACCUUCAUCCAGCACGUUGACUAGUUUCUUCUCUUCUUUAAAUCCACUCGUUUCUUCUUGCUGCUCUGUGAUAUGUUUGUUUCUACAAACUCAAAUAUCUCUGCAUUAGCAGCAGUUAGCCGCUGUUUCAACAACCUUC